RNAcentral lists this non-coding RNA (30 nucleotides) under Mus musculus (house mouse). Lineage: Eukaryota; Metazoa; Chordata; Mammalia; Rodentia; Muridae. The record is from RNAcentral.
UAGGGAAAGCAGUCAACCAGUCUUUUAGGU